RNAcentral lists this unclassified non-coding RNA (210 nucleotides) under Hevea brasiliensis (rubber tree). The record is from RNAcentral. Lineage: Eukaryota; Viridiplantae; Streptophyta; Magnoliopsida; Malpighiales; Euphorbiaceae.
GGAAUUGCCAGGGCUAAAAAAUCCCAGUGCAAAUUUAUUUUGUUUGGAAAUCAGAAGGUCCCCUUCUCUGAUGGUUUGGUUGAUGAUGAUGGUGUCUGUGGAAAUACAAAAUGUGAAUGUGUGGAGUCCAAGUAACACAUAAUACAAAGAAAGUGUUUUAGCAGCCAUGACUUAUGGAUCUUUUCUAAAGCCGAAACGAACUUUAUUUUG